RNAcentral lists this ribosomal RNA (915 nucleotides) under uncultured Deferribacteres bacterium. RNAcentral's name for it is "bacterial SSU rRNA". It matches the Rfam family "Bacterial small subunit ribosomal RNA", at positions 509 to 1423 of the family's 1533-position model. Lineage: Bacteria; Pseudomonadati; Deferribacterota; Deferribacteres. The record is from RNAcentral.
CAGCCGCCGCGGUAAUACGUAGGGUGCGAGCGUUAAUCGGAAUUACUGGGCGUAAAGCGUGCGCAGGCGGCUUUUUAAGCCAGAUGUGAAAUCCCCGGGCUUAACCUGGGAACUGCAUUUGGAACUGGAAGGCUAGAGUGUAGCAGAGGGGGGUAGAAUUCCACGUGUAGCAGUGAAAUGCGUAGAGAUGUGGAGGAAUACCGAUGGCGAAGGCAGCCCCCUGGGCUAACACUGACGCUCAUGCACGAAAGCGUGGGGAGCAAACAGGAUUAGAUACCCUGGUAGUCCUAGCCGUAAACGAUGGACACUAGUUGCUGGAGGAGUCAAUCUUUUCAGUGACGAAGCUAACGCAUUAAGUGUCCCGCCUGGGGAGUACGCCCGCAAGGGUGAAACUCAAAGGAUUGACGGGGCCCGCACAAGCGGUGAGCAUGUGCUUUAAUUCGAUGCAACGCGAAGAACCCUACCUGAUACUACAUGGGGUGAAAGCUUUCAGAAAUGAGAGACCUUCCGCAAGGAACACCCCACACAGGUGCUGCAUGGUUGUCGUCAGCUCGUGUCGUGAGAUGUUGGGUUAAGUCCCGCAACGAGCGCAACCCUCGCCCUUAGUUGCCAUCAGGUUAUGCUGGGAACUCUAAGGGGACUGCCUGGUUUAACCAGGAGGAAGGUGGGGAUGACGUCAAAUCCUCAUGGCCCUUACGUCCAGGGCUAGACACGUGCUACAAUGGCAGAUACAGCGGGAUGCAAGCUGGUGACAGCAAGCUAAUCCCUUAAAAUCUGUCUCAGUUCGGAUUGAAGUCUGCAAUUCGACUUCAUGAAGCUGGAAUCGCUAGUAAUCGCGGAUCAGCAUGCCGCGGUGAAUACGUUCCCGGGCCUUGUACACACCGCCCGUCAAGCCAUGAAAGAUGGCAGUACCCG